GAAGGCGGCUUUCUGGACAGUACUGACGCUGAGAUGCGAAAGCGUGAGGAGCAAACAGGAUUAGAUACCCUGGUAGUCACGCUGUAAACGAUGUCGAUUUGGAGUUUGUUGCCUAGAGUGAUGGGCUCCGAAGCUAACGCGAUAAAUCGACCGCCUGGGGAGUACGGCCGCAAGGUUAAAACUCAAAUGAAUUGACGGGGGCCCGCACAAGCGGUGGAGCAUGUGGUUUAAUUCGAUGCAACGCGAAGAACCUUACCUGGUCUUGACAUCCACAGAAUUCUGCAGAGAUGUGGGAGUGCCUUCGGGAACUAUGAGACAGGUGCUGCAUGGCUGUCGUCAGCUCGUGUUGUGAAAUGUUGGGUUAAGUCCCGCAACGAGCGCAACCCUUAUUCUUUGUUGCCAGCGAUUUGGUCGGGAACUCAAAGGAGACUGCCGUUGAUAAAGCGGAGGAAGGUGGGGACGACGUCAAGUCAUCAUGGCCCUUACGACCAGGGCUACACACGUGCUACAAUGGCGUAUACAAAGGGAAGCGAAGGUGCGAGCUGGAGCGGAUCUCAUAAAGUACGUCUAAGUUCGGAUUGGAGUCUGCAACUCGACUCCAUGAAGUCGGAAUCGCUAGUAAUCGUAGAUCAGAAUGCUACGGUGAAUACGUUCCCGGGCCUUGUACACACCGCCCGUCACACCAUGGGAGUGGGUUGCACCAGAAGUAGAUAGCUUAACCGCGAGGGGGGCGUUUACCACGGUGUGAUUCAUGACUGGGGUGAAGUCGUAACAAGGUAACCA
This 783-nucleotide ribosomal RNA is filed under the name uncultured Enterobacteriaceae bacterium. RNAcentral describes it as "bacterial SSU rRNA". It matches the Rfam family "Bacterial small subunit ribosomal RNA", at positions 717 to 1502 of the family's 1533-position model. Lineage: Bacteria; Pseudomonadati; Pseudomonadota; Gammaproteobacteria; Enterobacterales; Enterobacteriaceae. The record is from RNAcentral.